CCCAGACUCCUACGGGAGGCAGCAGUGGGGAAUAUUGGGCAAUGGGCGCAAGCCUGACCCAGCAACGCCGCGUGAAGGAAGAAGGCUUUCGGGUUGUAAACUUCUUUUGACAGGGAAGAGCAGAAGACGGUACCUGUCGAAUAAGCCACGGCUAACUACGUGCCAGCAGCCGCGGUAAUACGUAGGUGGCAAGCGUUGUCCGGAUUUACUGGGUGUAAAGGGCGUGUAGCCGGGCUUACAAGUCAGAUGUGAAAUCCGGAGGCUCAACCCCCGAACUGCAUUUGAAACUGUAGGUCUUGAGUAUCGGAGAGGCAGGCGGAAUUCCUAGUGUAGCGGUGAAAUGCGUAGAUAUUAGGAGGAACACCAGUGGCGAAGGCGGCCUGCUGGACGACAACUGACGGUGAGGCGCGAAAGCGUGGGGAGCAAACAGGAUUAGAUACCCUAGUAC
RNAcentral lists this ribosomal RNA (448 nucleotides) under uncultured bacterium. RNAcentral describes it as "bacterial SSU rRNA". It matches the Rfam family "Bacterial small subunit ribosomal RNA", at positions 330 to 793 of the family's 1533-position model. The record is from RNAcentral.